CCCUUAGAUGUCCUGGGCCGCACGCGCGUUACACUGAUGCAUUCAACGAGCUUAUAACCUUGGCCGAGAGGCCUGGGCAAUCUUGUUAACGUGCAUCGUGAUAGGGAUAGAUUAUUGAAAUUAUUAAUCUUGAACGAGGAAUUCCUAGUAAACGCAGAUCAUCCAUCUGCAUUGAUUACGUCCCUGCCCUUUGUACACACCGCCCGUCGCACCUACCGAUUGGAUGGUCCGGUGAAGCCUCGGGAUUGUGGUUCUUGCCGCUUUAUUGUGGCGUGACCGCGAGAACUUGUCUAAACCUUAUCAUCUAGAGGAAGGUGAAGUCGUAACA
RNAcentral lists this ribosomal RNA (328 nucleotides) under uncultured eukaryote. RNAcentral describes it as "partial 18S ribosomal RNA". It matches the Rfam family "Eukaryotic small subunit ribosomal RNA", at positions 1470 to 1796 of the family's 1831-position model. The record is from RNAcentral.